GAGAGCAAAACCAAGCCGAAUUAACUGUGCCUUUGUGUCCCAGCCGUUGCCUGUGGAGGAAGAGAAAGAGAGUGAGCACCCAGAGAACGAACUGUGUGAACCAGUACUUACUGUGAGCUGUAAUCAGCGAAGAGGUGAGAGCAAAACCAAGCCGAAUUAACUGUGCCUUUGUGUCCCAGCCGUUGCCUGUGGAGGAAGAGAAAGAGAGUGAGCACCCAGAGAACGAACUGUGUGAACCAGUACUUACUGUGAGCUGUAAUCAGCGAAGAGCCGUUGCCUGUGGAGGAAGAGAAAGAGAGUGAGCACCCCGAGAACGAACUGUGUGAACCAGUACUUACCGUGAGCUGUAUUCAGCGAAGAGGAGGAAGAAGGAGGGCGCUACGGAUACCUAAGACUCAGGCCGGGGCCCGAGUCCCACGCCCCGGAUCCCCGUGGCCCCCUUGCUCCCUGACCUCUUCCCGGCCAUAGCCCAUCUGGAGGGCCGAGUCAGAGUUUAGUUUUAAUUGCCCUUUCCCUAUUCCCCAAGCUAUUUUUAAAUAUUUAAAUAAAGAUUGUUUUAUCACUUACUUGUUCUCGUGU
Long non-coding RNA from Cyprinus carpio (common carp), 579 nucleotides. The record is from Ensembl. Lineage: Eukaryota; Metazoa; Chordata; Actinopteri; Cypriniformes; Cyprinidae.